UGGGGAAUAUUGGGCAAUGGGCGAAAGCCUGACCCAGCGACGCCGCGUGGGUGAUGAAGGCCUUCGGGUCGUAAAGCCCUGUCAGAAGGAAAGAACGAUCUUAUGGUGAAUACCCGUGAGAUGUGACGGUACCUUCGAAGGAAGCACCGGCCAAUUCCGUGCCAGCAGCCGCGGUAAGACGGAAGGUGCAAGCGUUGCUCGGAAUCACUGGGCGUAAAGGGUGCGUAGGCGGCUUCUUAAGUCUGGUGUGAAAGCCCAGGGCUCAGCUCUGGAAGUGCACUAGAUACUGGGAAGCUUGAGUAUCGGAGGGGAGAGUGGAAUUCCUGGUGUGGCGGUGAAAUGCGUAGAUAUCAGGAGGAAUACCGGUGGCGAAAGCGACUCUCUGGACGAUUACUGACGCUGAGGCACGAAAGCGUGGGGAGCAAACAGGAUUAGAUACCCUCGUAGUCCCUGAGCGGGCUGGCAAGGCGCAU
Molecule: ribosomal RNA, 473 nt
Filed under: uncultured bacterium
Lineage: Bacteria
Description: bacterial SSU rRNA
Rfam family: Bacterial small subunit ribosomal RNA
Source: RNAcentral